UCUGGUUGAUCCUGCCUGAACUGAUGUGUUUAUUUCAAAGAUUAAGCCAUGCAUGUAUAAGUUUAAUCGUUUAUCGAGAAACCGCGAACGGCUCAUUACAAUGGCCAUUAUUUACUUGAUCUUGAUUGUCUAAAUGGAUAACUGUGGAAAAGCUAGAGCUAAUACAUGCUCUAGCUUUGUCCUUACGGAAAAGCGCAUUUAUUAGAACAAAACCACGCGGCUUCGGCUGCUUCUUGUUGACUCAGAAUAACUUAGCUGACCGCAUGGCCUUGUGCCGGCGGCGUGUCUUUCAAGCGUCCACUUUAUCAACUUGACGGGAGCAUAAUCGACUCCCGUGGUGGUGACGGAUAACGGAGGAUCAGGGUUCGACUCCGGAGAAGGGGCCUGAGAAAUGGCCACUACGUCUAAGGAUGGCAGCAGGCGCGCAAAUUACCCACUCUCGGCUCCAGGAGGUAGUGACGAGAAAUAACGAGACUGUUCUCUUUGAGGCCGGUCAUCGGAAUGGGUACAAUUUAAACCCUUUAACGAGUAUCAAGCAGAGGGCAAGUCUGGUGCCAGCAGCCGCGGUAAUUCCAGCUCUGCAAAUACAUAGAAUUAAUGCUGCGGUUAGAAAGCUCAUAGUUGGAUUCGUAUCGAUACCUUGGAACCCUUCGGGUGUCUCUAGGUGUUAUCGAUUUAUCGUAAUGUUCGGUUUUGAGUCCUUAACAGGAUUCUUAACAGGCAUUGCAAGUUUACUUUGAACAAAUCAGAGUGCUUCAAACAGGCGUUUUCGCUUGAAUGAUCGUGCAUGGAAUAAUAGAAAAUGAUUUCGGUUCAGUUUUAUUGGUUUUACGGACUGAGAUAAUGGUUAACAGAGACAAACGGGGGCAUUUGUAUGGUCCCGUGAGAGGUGAAAUUCUUGGACCGUGGCCAGACAAACUACAGCGAAAGCAUUUGCCAAGAAUGUUUUUAUUAAUCAAGAACGAAAGUCAGAGGUUCGAAGGCGAUCAGAUACCGCCCUAGUUCUGACUGUAAACGAUGCCAACUAGCGAUCCGCCGAUGGAAAUUAUAUUGCCUUGGUGGGGAGCUUCCCGGAAACGAAAGUCUUCCGGUUCCGGGGAAGUAUGGUUGCAAAGCUGAAACUUAAAGGAAUUGACGGAAGGGCACCACCAGGAGUGGAGCCUGCGGCUUAAUUUGACUCAACACGGGGAAACUCACCCGGCCCGGACACUGUGAGGAUUGACAGAUUGAUAGCUUUUUCAUGAUUCAGUGGAUGGUGGUGCAUGGCCGUUCUUAGUUCGUGGAGUGAUUUGUCUGGUUUAUUCCGAUAACGAGCGAGACUCUAACCUACUAAAUAGUUGGUACAUACUCUUAGUGUAUACAGCUUCUUAGAGGGAUUUGCGGCGUUCAGCCGAAAGAAAUUGAGCAAUAACAGGUCUGUGAUGCCCUUAGAUGUCCGGGGCUGCACGCGCGCUACACUGGCAAAAUCAACGUGCUUGUCCUACCCUGAAAGGGGCGGGUAAACCAUUGAAAAUUUGCCGUGAUUGGGAUCGGAAAUUGCAAUUAUUUUCCGUGAACGAGGAAUUCCAAGUAAGUGCGAGUCAUCAGCUCGCGUUGAUUACGUCCCUGCCCUUUGUACACACCGCCCGUCGCUGCCCGGGACUGAGCCAUUUCGAGAAAUUUGGGGACCGUUGAUUUAAUUUUUCUAAAUUACUUUGAUGGAAACCAAUUUAAUCGCAGUGGCUUGAACCGGGCAAAAGUCGUAACAAGGUAGCUGUAGGUGAACCUGCUGCUG
This 1774-nucleotide ribosomal RNA is filed under the name Meloidogyne arenaria. RNAcentral describes it as "SSU rRNA". It matches the Rfam family "Eukaryotic small subunit ribosomal RNA". The record is from RNAcentral. Lineage: Eukaryota; Metazoa; Nematoda; Chromadorea; Rhabditida; Meloidogynidae.